Molecule: ribosomal RNA, 396 nt
Filed under: Triticum aestivum (bread wheat)
Lineage: Eukaryota; Viridiplantae; Streptophyta; Magnoliopsida; Poales; Poaceae
Description: partial small subunit ribosomal RNA
Source: RNAcentral
AUGGUACCAGGGGGACGUCCGUGGAGGUGGCGCUGCAGGAGACCACGGGUGUUCGCGGCGGAUCCGCGGGCGUCUGUAGCGGCGGCAAUCGAUGGAGAGAAGAUGAAUCCCCAGGCUCUUGGUUGGAAUAAGAGGGUGAGGAUAGGCACAGGCACUCAUUGCAGGAAACCAUGCCCGUCGUGUGUAACUGCAUUUGAGAAAGUUGUAAGGGGGUAUGCAGAGAACCCUUCAGAGAACGUCAUUGUGCUGAUGCUGGGCUCAAGCUUCGAUUCGCUCGGAGAAGCUUAUGAUUUCUACAACUUUUAUUCCUGGGAGAGGGGAUUUGGAACAAGGUACAAGAAGAGUAGAGUGAAUGUCGAGAGGAUGAAGGGCAUGCAGGAGGUCAUGUGCGGGUGA